AUCAGGUUGAUAGGUCUGAGGUGGAAGCGUGGUGACACGUGGAGCUGACAGAUACUAAUAGAUCGAGGACUUAACCUA
Molecule: ribosomal RNA, 78 nt
Filed under: Bacillus pumilus
Lineage: Bacteria; Bacillati; Bacillota; Bacilli; Caryophanales; Bacillaceae
Also listed under: 6 other names
Description: partial 23S ribosomal RNA
Rfam family: Bacterial large subunit ribosomal RNA
Source: RNAcentral